AUUCCAGCUCCAAUAGCGUAUAUUAAAGUUGUUGCAGUUAAAAAGCUCGUAGUUGGAUUUCUGGUUUGAUGCCCUGGCCCGCUGCUAUUUUGGUAGUGUGUGCCGGUUGUGCGUCUGCCAUCCUUCUAGGGAACGUUCCUUCUCUUCACUGAGCCGGGUUCGUGAUCUAGAUCGUUUACUUUGAAAAAAUUAGAGUGUUUAAAGCAGGCUUUUGCUAUGAAUACAUUAGCAUGGAAUAAUAAUCUAGGACUUCGGUCAUAUUUUGUUGGUUUCUGUAACUGAAGUAAUGAUUGAUAGGGAUAGUUGGGGGUGCUAGUAUUGAGCGGCCAGAGGUGAAAUUCUUGGAUUCGCUCAAGACUAACUUAUGCGAAAGCAUUCACCAAGGAUGUCUUCAUCA
RNAcentral lists this ribosomal RNA (397 nucleotides) under Ebria sp. RNAcentral describes it as "partial small subunit ribosomal RNA". It matches the Rfam family "Eukaryotic small subunit ribosomal RNA", at positions 582 to 975 of the family's 1831-position model. Lineage: Eukaryota; Cercozoa; Thecofilosea; Ebriacea. The record is from RNAcentral.